UACGUAGGGCGCAAGCGUUAUCCGGAAUUAUUGGGCGUAAUGAGCUCGUAGGCGGUUUGUCGCGUCUGCCGUGAAAGUCCGGGGCUCAACUCCGGAUCUGCGGUGGGUACGGGCAGACUAGAGUGAUGUAGGGGAGACUGGAAUUCCUGGUGUAGCGGUGAAAUGCGCAGAUAUCAGGAGGAACACCGAUGGCGAAGGCAGGUCUCUGGGCAUUAACUGACGCUGAGGAGCGAAAGCGUGGGGAGCGAACAGG
This 253-nucleotide ribosomal RNA is filed under the name uncultured bacterium. Its description in RNAcentral is "partial 16S ribosomal RNA". It matches the Rfam family "Bacterial small subunit ribosomal RNA", at positions 524 to 776 of the family's 1533-position model. The record is from RNAcentral.